UUCCCUGUGGCUCAGUUGGUAGAGCAUGGUGUUUGCAACGCCAGCAUGCUGUGUGCAAUGCCAGGGUUGUGGGUUCGAUUCCCACGGGGGGAC
This is a non-coding RNA of Salmo salar (Atlantic salmon), 93 nucleotides long. Lineage: Eukaryota; Metazoa; Chordata; Actinopteri; Salmoniformes; Salmonidae. The record is from Rfam.